This 319-nucleotide ribosomal RNA is filed under the name Laimosemion rectocaudatum. RNAcentral describes it as "partial 12S ribosomal RNA". It matches the Rfam family "Bacterial small subunit ribosomal RNA", at positions 875 to 1360 of the family's 1533-position model. Lineage: Eukaryota; Metazoa; Chordata; Actinopteri; Cyprinodontiformes; Rivulidae. The record is from RNAcentral.
GAAUACUACAAGCAUAAGCUCGAAACUCAAAGAACUUGGCGGCGCUUUAGAUCCAUCUAGAGGAGCCUGUCCUAUAACCGAUAACCCCCGUUAAACCUUACCUUCUUUUGCAUUCAGUCUAUAUACCGCCGUCGUCCAGCCCACCCUUUAAGGGCAAAAUAGUAGGCAAAAUUGGUAAAGCCCAAAACAUCAGGUCGAGGUGUAGCAUAUAAGAAGUGAAGAGAUGGGCUACAUUUCCUAAUAUAGGGACUCACGGAAAAUAUCUUGAAAUAGAUAUACUGAAGUAGGAUUUAGCAGUAAGUAAAAAACAGAGCGUUUC